ACAUUCCUGGGUGUCUGCAGAGAAGUCAUGUUAUCAUCAGGUAUGCUAAAUGACAUUAUAUUAAUAGAUUGUACAGCACUGUGGAAUUUAUUGGCUCCUUAUAAAUAAUAAUAAUGAUAACAAUUACUGGUGAGAUUUAUGCACAAUGCUGCAUUUAAAUCUCAAAUGCCCUAUACUCUAAGGGAUGUAAAACAAUAUGUAAAAAGCUUCAAGUUACCUUGAGCACUGGUAAAACUGUAUUUGAAAUGCUCUGGGAAUGGGGUAUAGGUCAAGACAAAGCUAGAUGACAAAUCUUGGGAAUUAGAUUGUGAGAGUUGUUAUAACUUAUUAUAUGGGCUGCUAAUGAAAAUGGCUACAAGUGUGUUUUCCUGGUGGUACUUCAAGUGAGAUUAAGCCAUAUUUGUCUGGAACAUUCCCCUCUUUGCAGUAGGGACAUACUUUCAUAUGUGGUGGCAAUGCAGGUAGGUGGUGAGGUAUUGGAGACAUUCUUUUAUACUUUAUAGCUGGAUUCUUGGCUUGACUUUUUAAACCCAACUGUGAGGUGGUUGUCUUAAAGGAACACUAUAGUAUCAGGAACAUAAAACUGUAUUCCUAACACUGAAGUGUCCCUCUACCUUCACGCCCCUCCUGGUCCCACUCAGCCAUAAAAGGGUUAAAUAACCCUUUAAACACUUACUUGAUUCCAUCACUUAGGUCUUUCAAAGUUGAGUGGGCCUCCUUCUCCUCUAACGUCAACUGAUGGGGGGAAACUAAAGCAACUGUGCGGCAGGUUCCACAUGUGCAUUAGGCCUUCCCCAUAGAAAAGCAUUGACUCAAGAGGUUUCUCAAGAAGCUGGACAGCAUGAGAAUGUGUUUCAAGGAGUUAAACUCUGUGAAGCACCAGGAAGCACCUCUAGACUAGAAGCAGUCUUAACUCUGCAAUAAAAAUAUUGCAGUUUCUCUGAGUGAGAUAACGGGUCUGGGUGCCUAAGUAGCCCUUUAAAUGGUGUCUCGUUAUCUUCUUGGCUUACAAGCUCAUCUUGGAAACAAUGCCAUAAAAUUUGCAUGGCUGUGCAUCACUUGGCAGUGGGAGGAAAAGAUCCCUUAUCUGGGCACAUUGAGGGAAUUAUUUGCAAUUCUUAAGGGUAAUCUUCCAGCACAUAAUAAACUAUAGCUUUCUUAGAUGGAAUAUUUGAGGUCAACUCAGCAUGCGUCUGACAGAUGACCAAUUGUCCAGAGAAAAAGGGGUACUGAGAGGAAGAGGAAGUGAGGGAAAGAGAAUUAAAAGAAAAUAGAAAUAUUGUAAAAUGACAACUGGCAUGUUUUUCAUCCUAAAAUGUUAGGUGCAUACAUGAAAAUUGUUAGGUACAUGCAUGAAAGAGGAAAUAAAAAUAAGAAAAGGUUAGUUGUGCUCACCUGCCAAGCUCUUUACUGGAACAUAUGUAGGCAAAUCAAUCCAAGGGAUACAAACAGCGCUGCAACAUGUGCUUAACGAAACAUUCUAACCAACAACAAUGCAGAUCGUUAAAAGAUAAUACUUUUCCUUUAAUGAAGGCAUAGAAAGAUCAAUCAAUGGCACAUAGAAAACACAUAAAAAAAUAUAAAGAAAUAAAAUAUAUGUACAAAAUCCCUCGGUUCUACUCUCUACAUGUUACAUCUUUUGUGCCCAAGAAUAAGCACUCAUGUAGCACAACAAAGACACUCCAAGUGUGGAGAGGAUGGUCAGAGUGUUUUGUACAUAUAUUCUUUUUCUUUUUGCUAUAAUAUUAGCACUAUUGUUGUAGGUUGAAAUGAAAGGGGAAAUAUAAGCACAUGGAUAAUUGUCUUUUUUUGUAUUCAUUGGCCUGGUUUAUGGAAAAUCAAUCCUGGUUGACAUAAUUAGUAAUUUACAUAACUUAGUACCCUUGACUGUUUAAAUAUCACAUCACACUUGUUCUGUAGCUUGCACCCCCUUGGCCUAAACAAAUGUUCUGAGGAAAAUGAAAAUUGUAUUUGAAAUAUUCAAUCAUAAAUAUCAGAUUUUGUAAGUUCUAUGAUAUGUGAGUUCUAUAUUAUCCUUUUUUUUCUAAACCUGAUUAUGAAGAAGCGAUCAUCGGUACAUCUUUAUUUGACCACGGCAAGUCAAGUCACAUUCAUCUAUCCUUUGCCAGUGGACCGUUGCAAAUCACAUACCACAAAAAUACAGUUCCCAUCACAGGGAGCCUUAGUUUUCUUCUGAAUCGAGGGGAACUCCAUAAGGCAUUCCAAAAACAAAAAUCUAAGGACUUUAG
Non-coding RNA from Pelobates cultripes (western spadefoot toad), 2249 nucleotides. The record is from the annotation of a GenBank genome assembly. Lineage: Eukaryota; Metazoa; Chordata; Amphibia; Anura; Pelobatidae.